CCAGAGAUUCUGCGCAGCAGAUUAAACAGUCAUUAGAUUGAAUCAGCAACCAACAGAAUGGGAAAAAAUUUUUGCAAUCUACCCAUCUGACAAAGGGCUAAUAGCCAGAAUCUACAAAGAACUAAAACAGAUUUACAAGAA
This is a long non-coding RNA of Sapajus apella (tufted capuchin), 141 nucleotides long. RefSeq lists it as uncharacterized. The record is from RefSeq and is a predicted model, not a curated record. The transcript is spliced from 3 exons. NCBI's taxonomy places the organism in Eukaryota, Metazoa, Chordata, Mammalia, Primates, Cebidae.